CCCUCCAAAACUUUUGUACUAUUUUAACAUCUCUGUUAUUUUUUUUUACUUCUUUUUUGGUUAAAAUUGAGACUUUAGGCAUAUAAUAAGAAAACUUUCAGCAGAGUAUCUCAACUUAAAAUAAAUAAAAAUAUAUUAUUGUUCGAUUAUGAAUAUCUCAAAACGAGAAAAACCUCAAUCCAAAAUAUCACAAAACGGUGAAAAAUUCAGUCCAAAAUAUCUCAAAUAAUAUAUUUUGACUAAUUUCUCACCACUCUAAAAUAUCUAAUGAUAUUAGAUCAUUAUUUUAUUUACUUUUUAGAACUACUAAUUUAUUAGAAAAAUGUUGCUCUAGAUCCAUUUCCAUUUUAAUUUUUAUCAUGAAAACUCAAACAUUAAAAUAACUAAAAUAAGAACUUGCUAGAUACUCACAAGAUACUAUGAAAAAUAUUUUGCAUUACAUUUUUGGUCAAUUUUUCAAAAACAAUAUUGAAAUUCAAUAGUUUUAUAAAAGUAAACUUAAAAUAACUGAAAUAAAAACUUGCUAGAUACUCACAAAAUACUACGAAAAUAUUUGGCAUUAUAUUAUUAGUCAAUUUUUUAGAAGUAUCUUGAAAUUUAAUAGUCUUAUAGUAAAAACUAUUUAAAUUAAUAAUAUUGGAAUUACGAAAUUUUAUUAUUUUUUAGAGUUAUUAAUUUACAAAAAAAAUUAUUUUUAUAUUUUAAAAUAUAUUUUUAAUAAAAUAAGAUAAAUAGUUUAUUUUGUCGUGUAUAUGUUAAUUAAAUUAUUAAAAGGGCAAUUCUCUUAAAUAGAUUUUUUUAAGUUUUUGCCACAAAAAUAGACCUCAAAAACUAAAAUGACCAAAAUAGCACUUUUUUAUUUUGAAAAUUUAACUUUUUAUUUAUUUUUAAACCCUAAACCCCACCCCCUUAAUUCUAAACUCUAAUGUCUAGAUUAAUUAACCCUAGGGGUAUAAGUGUAUAUUUACUUCUUUUGAUAAAACAUUUAAGUCUAUUUUGGUCAUUUUUAUUUUUGAGGUCUAUAUUUGUGACAAAAAAAAAUUUAGGUCUAUCCUAGGGAAUUUCUCUUAUUAAAAUUAGACUUUUAUUAUUUUUGUUAUUCUAUUUGGUGUAUACAAAAUAUGUUUCAUAGAAUUUAAAUGUAGUUUUAGAUAUAAUUUGGGUUUUCUACAAAAAAACCCUCAAUGUGGUUUUUUUUUGCAAAUUAAUCCGCGAACUCAAAAACCCACGGGUCAACCCUCCAAGUGCCAGUCAAACCGCAAUAUAACCCUCGGCCAUAUUUAUGUGUAUUUGACUGUGUAUAAUUUUAACAUUUUUUCAAUACUAGGUCAUUUUGGCGCUAAUUUUUUAAUGAAAAAAAUUUGUUGAACCCCACCUUCAUUGUGCAUUUACGCAAGCUCCCAUGUCCGAGAAAAACUAGGUCAUUUCGUUUUAGAAAUCUAUAUAAUUGCGUUUGUUAAGUAAACAAAUAUAUUUGUUGGCCGAGAUGGUUAUAUAGCAUGCACAUGGUAUUUAAGGUUCAAAUUUCAAACCACGAGUUUAACAAAUUUUUUUCAUUAAAAAAUUAGCGCCAAAACGACCUAGUAUUGAAAAAAUGUUAAAAUUAUACACAGUUAAAUACACAUAAAUACGGCAGAGGGUUAUAUUGCGGUUUGACUGGCACUUGGAGGGUUGACCCGUGGGUUUUUGAGUUCGCGGAUUAAUUUGCAAAAAAAAACCACAUUGAGGGUUUUUUUGCAGAAAACCCAUAUAAUUUUACCUAAUAUUAUCAAAAUAUGUUGAUGUGUUAAGAAAAAUAAAGUUCAAUUUCAUUGUGAAUAUAAAAUAAAUAAUACAAUGAUUUGUUUGUACAUAUAUAAACAUUAUAUGUAUGAAUUAUUAAUUUAUGAUUUUAAUGGGAUUAUAUAUAUACAUAGAUUUUCUACAAAAAAACUAUUAUCUUAUUAUUUUAUCGAUUUGUGUCAUAUUUUGAACCGGCCAAAUUCGAGACCGAAGAAAUUUAUUAAUUUACCAUGUUUGUAAUUGAUCGAGUAUUAAUUUAUAGCGUUUCUACCGUAUAACUGAACUUAAAAUAAAAUUAAGAAACCCCAAAAGAAUAUCUUAAAGUGAAAACAAUCAUAAAACUAUAAUGUUUACAAGAGAAGAUGCGUAGUGAAGAUGAGAGAAAGGAAACUACAAUGGUUUUGUUUUAUUUAUUUAUAUACAUCAUUACAAGAGAUGAUCAGCUUGCAGUGGUACUUGUAUACAAAGAACAAAGUGUACAAAGCGAGGCAAAUAAUGGUUCUACAAUCUCACUUAAAUCGUCUUCCAAUGGCUUAGAACCUCCAUCUCCUGUCUGGCUGAAUAAUGUUUCUCUUCCAAUGAUGAACAAGGAGUGUUUAUGACCAUAGAGAAUUGCUGCAAUGUUACCAACAAAUGAGAGUUUUGGGCGCUUACCCACCUUGAAUCAUCUCACUUCUUAACACAUCUUCUCUCCUUAUUCUGUGAGAGCUAAAAGAGUUACUAGCAUUCUACAUCACUCCUCUAAUUCCAAACUUGGGGUAACCAUAGGGAAUGUUGUCAGAUGCGAAUCGCCUCUCAUAUCUUUAGCCAAACCCUCAAUGACAUCGUAUAUCUCAUCACUCUGAGGAUGCUCUUGAUCUCUAGACACAAAACAAUUUACAUUACCUGCAACUUCAAUCCCACUACGACCAACUUCUUUCCUUAAACCCUUUUCUCUCAUUCCUCUCCUCAACCUAUCAACACUCGUCCAUUUCUGUUCCUCAGCAUACAUAUUCGAGAGCAAAACCUGAUAUCCUGAAAAGUUCUUCCCUUUAUCCACUUUAGCUAACUUCUCUGAAACAGUUUCAGCAAGCUCAAUCUCACCAUGUACUCUACAAGCUCCCAGAACCGAACCCCAUAGCUCAGCAAUGUUUCCUUCUUCAUCAAGCCCUUUAACAAACUCGUAGGCUUCAUCAACGCGGCCUACUCUCCCUAACAUGUCUGUAACGCAGCAAUAGUGCUCAUUGGAAGGCUGGAUGUUAUAAACUUCACUCAUUUCCUCGAAUAUUUUGAGACCUUCAUCCACUAAACCGGAAUAGCUGCAAGCUGAUAAUACUGCAACAAAGGUGACAGUAUCUGGUUUGACUCCAGACUCUUCCAUUGAACGAAACAGCGAGAUAGCUCUCUCACCCAUUCCGUGUUGACCAUACCCCAAUAUCAUCGUGGUGUACGUCACAGAGUUUCUCUCUUUCGUUUGGUAAAACAUGUUUUCUGCGUACUGUAUCGCUCCUGACUUUGAGUACAUAUCAACUAACGCAGAAGCAACAAAUACGUUCUGAUCCAAGUACUGCCUUAUAGAGAAACCAUGUAGCUGUUUACCUAAGUCGAAACUACCUAUCUGGCUACACGCAGGGAGAAUCGACGCCACAGUUAUGGCAUUGGGUUUGAUAUUCUGUUCUAACAUCUUCCUGAACACAGCAAACGUUUCCUCUGUGUGUCCGUUCUGCGUGUACCCGGACAUCAUAGAGUUCCAAGUAGCUUGAUCUCUUUCAGCAUAGCCACUUCUCUCGAAAAGCUUCUCUGAGAUCCUUAUUAGACCUGACUUAGCAUACAUGUCAAUAAGGUAACUGUUCAUCCCCUCGAACUGAAUCCCUUGCCUUAUAAGGAAACCAUGAGUCUGCUUCCCAAUCUCCUUGUUUCUAAGAUUCGACGCAGCCGAAAGCAAAGCAGUCACUGUUAUGUAAUCGAUCUUAAACCCCUGCUUCUGCAUCUCAUACACCAACAUCAAUCCUUCAUCAUCUAAGCCGUUUUGGACAGACGCAGAGAUCAUUGUGUUCCACGUCACAACAUCUCUCUCUCGCAUCGAAACAAAGACCGCAAAGGACUCGUGCACAGAGCCGCACCUCGAGUACAUCACCAUCAACGAGUUGAAUAUCACAACGGGAAGCUCCUGAAAGUUCUUGCUGACAAAACCAUGAAACUGUCUACCUAACUCCACUUGCUGCAGCGCUGAAACUGCACUCGCUGCCAAGAGGAACGUUACUUCGUCAGACACAAUCUCUUUCGAUCCUAUUGCAUCAAGAACAAGAUCUAUACUCUCAACCAGGUACUCGUUCUGAACAUAGACUCCUAUCAUUGUAUUCCACACCUCAAUGUUCCUCUCUACACAAGAAUCAAACACUCUCCGUGACGCUUCAAUAUCGCCAAGCUCUGCAUACAUAGAAAUAGCCGAGCUCACAACAAACAAGUCCUUCACAUACUCAUCUCCCAACUUAAGCAUCAAACCAUAAAAUACUUUAGCUCUCUUAACACUUCUCGAACUCGCCACCGCGGGGAAGACAUUCACAAAGCUAACCGGACUCGGUUUAAUCUCCAUCCUCAUCAUAAUCCCAAACUGCCUACACGCCUCUGCGUGUCUCUCCGUCUUCACAUACCAAGAAACCAACGUAUUCCACGCCACAACGUUCUUCCUACGCAUACUAUCAAAAACCUUACGCACCACAUCGUACUCGCUUCCAGGAGGAAGGUGGUUCAAGCAAGAAACGUACAUAUUCAACAGAGAGUUAUGAACAACCCUGCUCGAGUUCUGCAAGCACCGGAUCAAAUGGCAAUGCACGGCUUUACCAGCCUUCAGGUUCUUGGUCUCGGCGCAGGCCUUGAGCGUGGAGGAGUAAGUGUAAGGGUCGCAUUUGGUGAAAGGAGCGGUCUUUUUCAUCCGGGAGUAGAAAAGGAGAGCCUCGUGCGGGAGGUUGUUGCAGAUGAGGCCGAUGAUAAUGGUGUUCCAUAGGACGGUUGUUGGUUUGGGAAUUGCGUCGAACAGCUGGCGUGCGAGCUGUGGGUUUCCUUCUUGGCAGAUUCUGCUGAGGCGGGAGCGGAUUGAAGGUGUUUGGGGAGUUGGGUUUGUUGGUGGGGCGAAGGUGGAAGAGCGNNNNNNNNNNNNNNNNNNNNNNNNNNNNNNNNNNNNNNNNNNNNNNNNNNNNNNNNNNNNUGGUUUGGCGGGGGAGAGUGGAACGAAAGUGGCGGUGGGGGUGGGAGAGGUAGAGCUGAUCCGGCCAUUGUGGAAGAGAUGAUGAAGAACGAAAUGAAGUGACGUUAUUGACUCUCUCUUCCGCUUUAUGUUAUCAUCAUCAUCUUUCUUCAGUGAUAAGAGUUUGUUUAUUUUCUAUUUUUAUAAGAUAGAUUACCAUUUUUCAAAGUACACUAAAUUUGUGAUAAAAAAAAAAUAAUAAACCAACUAAACUAUUUAUUAAUGUUUUAAAAAAUAUUGGGUAAAUAAUCCAUAUUUUCCCACCAAAACUAUCAGGUAAGAAACUAUCAAUCUCGUCUUAAUUAUAUGUAUUUUAAAUUAUUCUACAUGUUAUUUCCCAGUUCAAAGUUUCAAACCAUAAAACCACAUAAUCUUUGUGGUUAAAAAAAAGAAAAAAAAAUCAUAGGCGAUUGAGAGGCAUGUUCUAACGAGGGUCAAGUUGGUUUUUAUUUGGUUAAUUGUUUUUGGUUCAAGUGUUUCGACUUUGGUUUAGGUUGUAAACGAAUUUUGGUUUAGGUUCUAACCAUUAAAUCAGUGAAAAGCCGGGUUUGUGUUUCAGUUUUUUGAAUUGGUGAGUAAUAGGUAAAAUAACUUAAAACUAGGAUAAGACCGCGGGCUAAAUUUAUGUGAAAAUUAUUUAAUAAAUAUCGUAUGAAAAAUAAAAUUUAUAUUAUUGAUCGAAUUAAUAUUUUUGGCUAUUAAAAAAUUUUUUAAAAACUUUUUUGUUAACUACAUAAUUUGUUUACUAAUAAACUGGUCCCAUUUUUAAAAAUAUUUUAGAUCAAAAAUUUAUUUAUCACUUAAAAACCUAAUGUUUAGGCCGAAAAAUCUCAUGUCUACUAUUUGGUUACAAUGAAACUAUGUCAGCUCGUUUUUAUAUCAUGAUUUAGCAAUUUAAAAUUUAAUAAUGGUUAUGAGAAGUUUACGUUCACGUAUCAAGCCUAUCUAUCUUUGAUAUUUUUUUCAUUUUUGUGUCAUUUUGGUUAUUUGCUCGAUAUAAAUAUUUAUUUUUAAGUAUAUUUUUAUUUUUUCUUUUAUUUUGGCAUGAGAUUUAGAAAAUGUUUAAGAUUCAAAAUUAUUAAAGAGAUAGAUACUUAAGUUAAGAUAUGCACCUUGUGCAAAAUAAAUAUUUUAUAUUUUUGUGCAUAUUAUAAAAUAAUAAAAUAAUAAUUAUAUAAUAAAUUGGUUUGCAUAUAUAAAUCAAAUGACCGCUCUUGUAUAUUCGCAAUCAUUUUAGAAUAAAUAAAUCAAAACAUUCAAUCUUAUCUAUCGUAUAUGAUAUAUAAUUAAAUUUAAACGAUAUGAAAUAUAUAUAUAUAUAUAUAUAUAUUAACAUUAACACCUAUUAAAAUAAAAUUAUUUGUUUAUAUGAUUUUAUUAUCAUUAUAUCUUAUUAUAAAAAAAACUAAACAUUGAUCACAAAAGUUUAUGUGAGACUUUUAAUAGUUUAGUAAUUUAUACUCGUUUUGAAAAAUUCAAAAUACAACAUAUACAAAAAAAUCUAAAUUUUUAAUAUAUGAUUAAUGUAAUUGUGUAAUUUAUUUUAAUAAUAAAGAAUUAAAAAAAAAUGAUAGAAAGUAUACAGAUUAUUAGCAAAUUUUCAUUAUUUAAAAUAAUUAAUUACUAUAUAUAUCAUAAUCACAUAAGGUACUUCCGUAAGUUUUAUUUAAGGAAAUAAUAUAUAAUACAUUUCAAUUUGAUAAAUGAAUGGUCCAUAAUGGACAUACUAUAUAAUAUAACAUUUUUUAGCAAUUUAAUUUUGGACUAACAAAAUUCUCAAUUGAUUUUCAAGUCGCCACGUAAACAAAUUAACAUUCCAGUUACGUGACAACCUAGCACGGCAUUUUUUUAAUUAGUAACUACAGGUUAUAAACUUUUUAAAUGUUUUCCUAUUAAUAUAUAGGGGAUGUUAAACCAUUGAUCAUUAAUUUUUACAUAAUAAUUUUAAUAGUUUUAGUAAUUUUGUCGUUUUUAAAAAUUCAAAAUAUAACAUAUACGAAAAAUCUAUAUUUUAAUUUUAUAGCUAAUUUGAUUGUUUAAUUUAUUUUAAUAAUAUAAAAUUAAACAAAAAUAAUGGAUGAGAUAUAAAUUGUUAUCAAAUCUUUAUUAUUAGAAUCAUUAAUUGUCAUAUAUAUAUUAGUCAUAUUUGGUAAUUCCGUAGCUUUUAUUUAAGGAAAGAAAAUAAAAUAGUAAUUGUACACUUUAAUUAAUUUUAUGAUUAGUUAAAUGAAAAGUAUAAUAUAUACUUAAUUGGACCAACAUAUUUUCUAAGGAUUCUGAAUUUCAUUCUGGUGAUGACACGUGACUACACUUAAAGGUUGUAAUGUUUCUCAAUUAAUAUAUAAGGGAUAUGUGAAAUUAAGAUGAAGUUAAAAGUUUGUGUAUAAUUGUUAUUAUAUGAUAUUUUGUGGGGGAAUUAUGUCCUUUACUCAAAAACAUUUAUAUAACUUUAUAAAUUCAACCCCAUUUCCUAAUCUUAAAACCUAAACAAUAAUCAAUAAUCUAAACCCAAAUGUUAAUGUAGUUUUGAUUGAGCAUAUCUUUUUAAAAAUAGCAGCCAAUUUAGAAUAUUUCAAACUAGUUUUCUUAAUAAUAUUCUACUGAUGUAAAUUUAAAGAUUAUCUAUUAUAUAUAUGAUUAAAUAUUGGUUCCAUUUUAUAUAUUAAUUCAAAAUUAAGAAUUAAAUUUAUAGUAUAAUAGAAACUUGGGUUUUAUUGGUUUUAUUAAUAAUACUAAGGUUCAUAAUCAGAGAUAAUGAAGAACAAAAUUCAAGUUCGAGAUUAGAGUGAGAGAUGAAGAAGAAAAUAAAAAUAGAAAUUUGUUAUUCCUCAUAAUGAACAUGUACAUGUAUGUUCAGUACAAUUGUACGGUUAAGCAAAAGAAAACCUAACUAAUAUAAACCGGUUAGUUAACCCUCCCCUCAAGUCUUUAUCUGUGGAGCUUGCAAAAGGUAAAGACUUGACAAGAACAAACGAGAGAAGAAUGAAUGGUAAGGACCUGGGUAAAGAGGUUUGGUGAGAAUGUCUGCAAGCUGGUUUCCAGUGGUGACAUGAAAAGUCUUGAUCUUGUCUGUCUUCAGCUGAUCAUGAACGGUAUGACAAUCGAUCUCUAGGUGCUUCAUACAUUCGUGAAAAAAGGAUUCAUGGCAAUAUGAAGCGCUGACUUAUUAUCACAAUACAACUUAGCAACACGGGUGACAGAGACAUGCAUAUCACGAAGCAAUUGUUGCAGCCAAAUCAACUCACAUGUAGCUAAAGCAAGACUUUGAUAUUCAGCCUCUGUAUUGCUUCUACUAACCACAACCAGUUUCUUGGACUUCCAAGAGAUCAAAGAAGAACCAAAAUAAACACAAAAGCCUGUAAUAGAACGGCGAGUCUCUUUGCAAGUAUCCCAAUUUGCAUCAGCAAAAGCAUUCAAGCAUAACUAUGAAGUAGCUAAGUACAUCAAUCCUUGACCAUGAUUAUUCUUGAGAUAUCGCAAGACCUUAUGAGCAGCCUGCAAAUGUGUAUCAGUAGGGACUGAUGAUUAAUGCAUUUUAUCACAUGUCAAUUAACCUAAUAUGCGCUCUACCACAAUCAAAUGGUAUAACGAUGCAUCACUUUAGGAUUGAAUCCACAAGGAACUAGUGAUCUAUAACACUAAGAAUACACAAGCUUUCAUAAUCUAAGAAAACAAGAAGAUGGAUGAUUGGUAACAAAUUAAGAUCCUGGAAAUAUAAACAAGGUGAUCUCAAAUUCAUUUAAGAAAUAAGUGCAAAAACUAAACUUUCAAUCAAAUGAUAAGGUAGAAUCCAUGGGAUUAAGACAAUUUAUCCAAGGCAAUUAGUUUCCAAGUCAAAGUGAUACGUUUAAGCAAUCAAAAGUCUAUAUAGGUCUAGAUCUCAUUCAGAUAGAUUAAUUCACUGUCGUGACAAUAAUCCAUAUGCAAUCAUGAGCUAAAUAUCAACUCCCGUUGGCCUAAUUCAUUAUGUUCAAGUAUACUAACCAUCUAGCAAUCCUAACAUCAAAUGUCUUUGGUUAUUCAAGCUAAAACAAUACUAAGUUCAUUUAAGCAUUUUAACAAACACCUUCCGGACUUAAAAUUGCAUAAGGUAUAGAUAAGAUUGAUCAAGUCUAAUCUAGCAUUAAAAACAUUUAGCAAGCAUAAAAACUAGUAGAUCUAACAAUAACCACCUUAACUCUUCACUAAUCACCCUAGAUCUACUUAACCCAUGGAUUCAAAAAGUGUCUACUCAAUAAUCUCCAUGAAAAAUCUUAAAUCUAUAUGAGAUUCAAGGUUAAUCAUCUUAGUGAUCAAGAGAAACACAAAUAUAAGAUGAAGUACUUUCUUAAAUGAUCAAAAGGUUCAAGUUUUUACAAAAUGAGGCAAAGUCUUGAGAGAAAACGAGAGAAAAUAGGAUUUUUAAGUCGAAAUCUAUUUAUAGAUGUCUUAAAACGAGCUGGAUCCACAAUAAAUCUGGGUUAACCCAAUAAAAAGUGGUGUUUUCGUCUGUAGAGACAUGGUCAUCCCACUAUAACUAGGUCACUACAGCACUUAGUUGUGUGGGGCUUCUUGGGGAACCAUAGCAACAUGCUCUGAUCGCUACAGUGGUCGCUACAUACACUCGAGUUCCUCCGUAGCGACAUGCUAUGGUCGCUACAGCUAUGGUCGCUACAUGGUUGAUAUGCCUCCAGUAGAUAGAUCAUAACUCCUCAAUACAGCUCCAAAUGAUUUGAAACCACCGGAAUUGGAAAGCUGACUCAAUUGCCUAUGUCGGCCCAAAAUUCGAGCUUCAGAAGAGAUCUUUAAAGCCGUCAUCCAUGUUCAUCUUUUACCCUUUUGACUCAAAACUCCUCAAAUGCCUUCAAACUCACCAAUAAGUAUCUCCAAAACCUGAUAUAGACACAUGCAAUGCAAUGCAAUGAAAUAUAAAUAUGUAUAAAUGAAUCUCUACAUGAUCAUUAUAUACAUUAAAUGAUAGUUUAAAAUCAUGCAAAUUCAUAGGAUAUCAACCCUCCCACAUUUAUCAUUUAGUUGUCCCCAAGUAAACUUUCAAGAACAAAGUGAGAAAGAGUUGUGAAGGUGGAAGCUCAUUACCAAAAGAUAUUUUUCAAAGACAUCAACGUGAUAUACUUACAAAAUCAUACCAAAUAUCAAGAGCAAAACAUCCUAUCAAACUCUAACUUCUCUAGGCCUAUCUCAACUCCUUGAUCUCUUACGCUCAUUCUCAAGACUCCACAAACAAACCAAUCAACCAACCCUCACAUUCAUUAAACAAUAAUCAUAAGUGCACUCUUGCGAAUGGACAAUUGGUCCUAAUCAUUUGGCUUGGUGAAAAAAGGUUUGUAGUUAUAGUGAAGUAAGAGGGUUAUCAAGUGCUUUUCAUGGUGGUUUACUCUCAAGAACAAGUAGCUUGACAUUAUGCAUAAUAUAUCUAAGAAAGAGAACAACUCAUGCAUACAAUGCUCAAAACUCUUGCAUACAAUGCUCAAGAAUCCUCAUUGUUCUACCCAUUUCCUAGACACAAGCAAUUUUUUAAUCUUUGUUUCCCAAUGUCAAACUCCCAUUCACUCACCAAAAUGCUACAAGAACACUCAAGAUCACUCUCACUUUUUGAACUCUUUAUUAAUUUUUUCCCACUAGAGAUUUUUUUUUCACUCGUUCCUUAGCUUAAGCUCUUUUCUUUUUUCUUUACCCCACUCUUAAAAACAAAAAAAUUCUCAGCGGUUUUUAUUUCUUUAGACACUUUUGAGCUAAACUUUCUUUUUCUUUGAUCUCUUUUUUUUUAGACUUUUGAGUUCACUCUUUUCACUCAUCUUUUUUUUUUCAACCCUCAAAGAUCAAACACUCAAUACUCCCUUCCUAUCCUAUGAGCUAGACAUCAUGAGAUCCUAAAGCUAGCAAGUAAUGAGGACCAACCAUUAUCGUUACCAAUACUCUCAACAUUAUGCACAUCUCAAACUUUCAGAAAAGACCUCACUCAUCAAUUUAAUAAUGUCUUGAAAGGAAGGUAGGGUUAAGGGUGUGGAGAACCAUCUAAAGGAGAGAUGGCGACUUGAGUUGCCAAAGAUUGGUGAAAAGGAUAAGACUAACUCAAGUGUGUGUGAGGUAACCAUGAUCAAGCACAAGAAGAGCCCAUAAGCUAGAUAUAUUAGGUUCAUUAACUCAAAUAAGAUUGGAGUUGGUUUCAAGAACAAGCAAGUUUCGUCAAUCAAACAAGUUUCAAGAGGAGUUUUCAAGGCUCGAGGUAUACAAGUUAUCUAGAAGAUGUUCAAGCUACUUAUUAUGACUGAGAAGGAUAACACAUUAACUUCUUUGCAUGAGUUCUUUACAAAGUUUUCUCCCAAUGCAUGAAAGCAAUCUAUAUGUUUCUAGACUUAUCCUGAAGAUUAAAAUGAUGCAACUAAAUGCUUCUUUUUGUUGUUUUCAAUAAUUUUCAAUUCUGUGGGUUUUCUAUGGAAAUAAGUAUGCAAAAUAUAAUGUAUGAGACUCAAGAUGACAAGAAAACAAAAUAGAACACAAGGUGAGAUGGUAGACUCUCCCCCAAACUUACUUCACACAGUCCCUUGUGUGAAAGUAAACUUGAAGGAGAGAUCAAAGAGAAAGAAAAUGAAAGUAUUUACAAAUUUAGGGUGCACUUACUUGGAGUUAUAGGUUUAAUUGGGUGGUAAAGGACCCUUGGCCUCGGAUUUGUUCCACCAGGAGAGACGUGCUGAAGCGGAGAAGUGAAGGCGGAAUGUGUCCAAGCUCUUUACCCAUGUAGUGAAGACUUUCUUGCCAAACCGGAUCACCGGGAUCAUACUCAUCAUAAAACCAAACUAUAAACUCAUUCAUCCUAAUCUAAGGUACCUUCCUUAGAUCAUCAACUUCUUUGGUAGAGAGUAUACCAAAAUGGUAGUCAAAGGGUUUGUCCAUAGGAGAGUCUUCUUCUUGCACCUCUUUGGGAGAUUAUUCAAUGUUGAAUCACUUGAUUUUCUUUAGACUCUUCACCCCUUGAUCCUUUCUUGGAAUUAAGCCUCACAUGCAUUUCGUCCUUGGUUGAUAACUCAUCCAUAACCAAUGAGAUCUAUCUUUUCUCCUCCAUGCAUUUAACAACCACACCAUCAUCACAAAUAUCUUCAAAGACUCUUCCAACCAAGCGUACUUCUUCAUUCUUGCUCCUUGUUGAAUAACCCAUGAAUGCGAUUGGUUCAACUUGCUCUUCAUAUAUUAUCACAAGAUUUUAAUUUACCAUGAAUCCAUAGAGUCUUAAGCUUCUUGUUGAAAUCCAUCCUUGAUUUGAACAUCCUCUUCAAUAUUAAUUUCCAUAUCCAUGGUAUGUUCUUCAUAAGUAUUGGUGUUGUAAAAGGGGGUGUUGCUUUCUUCUUGAUCUUCACUAAUGUGAGAGAGUUGUUGUUGAUUGAUUUCACAUGUCUUAUAACUCCAUCCAACCUUGAGCUUAGAACCUUGCCAUUAACAUCAAUCUUGGUGGAAAGAGAAUCAAGUUGUCUUUCUAUCUAAAUCCUUCCCUUUUUUUGAUUCUCUAACAACUUCACAGGCAUGUUGGUGAUGUUUUCUUCACUUGAAUCUUGAGGAAAUUUAGCUGCUUGUUCUUCAUAGUCUAUAUCCCAAGGUUGAUAUCCCUCACCAUAUCCAUAUUGUCUUCUUUGACCAAAGUCUCCAUGUGGUUGAUACUCCAAUGAGGUGGAUGGUUCAUAAGCUCUUUCACAACAUGUUGAGCUUCUAGAUAUCAUCCUUUCUUGACUCUCCAAAAUAGCCUUUAUCAUUGAUUCUAAGUCAAGAGACAUGAUCUUCCUCUCUUGUGAAUGUACUUUGCAAAAGAACAAUCACUUGAAAGGGAAUUAGUCAUCAAACAAAGCAAAAGAAAACAUAAGAAAAUAAAGCUUAGACGAAUUUGAAAGGGGUUUGAAGGGGGUUUCAGAUGUACAAGAGAUAAAAAAACUCAAACAGCUGAUGUUCAUUCUGAAAACAUGAUCAGGCUUGGACAGUCCCUACGAAUGCUAAAGGCUAAUGUGUCAAAACUCAAGGUUCCAUUGAGAAAAAAAGAGCAAAGAAGUUUCAGCUGCUAUCUCACCUACCAGGUUUGAUAUUCUUGCAAACAUCUGAGCGAUGAAAUAAGCAAGAGGGAGGUGAAAUAAAAGCAGUCUCUGAGGAUGAUAGUUCAGAUGAGGAAGAAUUACCUCCUCAAAAAAUUGUAACCAACAAAAAGAAGCUUAAGUCAAAUCAUAAAGAAAAGAACAAAGGUCAAAAGCAAGCCGCUGCUCCAAAGAAAGCUCAACCUACUUUGCCUCACACUACUACAAAGAAAACCAGAGGAUAUAAUGAUCAUGACGACCCUUUUUGCGUAGGACACUCGCGGUUUCAACAAAAAGUGCAAACAUAAUGCAGUUCGAUCUUGGAUUAGAGGUAAUAAUCAUCUUCUUGGUUGUCUUCUUGUAACUCGUGUUAAAGAAGAUUUUGCUGAUUCUAUCAUUGAAUAUAUGUUUUGUGGAUGGAACUAUGAAACAAUUUAUGAGUACCAUCGGUUAGGAAGAAUAUGGUUACGUUGGUCUCCUUUGGUAUUGUUACAGUUUUGUACAAAAGUCUUCAGCUUAUGACGGUUCUUCUCUCCUUACAUCCAAGUGAAGAGUUCAUGAUUUCGUGCAUAUAUGCUUCUAAUUUUCAGAGGGACAUAACUUAGUUUCGGGAGGAAUUGCGAUCAAUGAAAGGUUUCUUUAGCACUAGCUCUGGUCCUUGGAUUGUAAUGGAUGAUUUCAAAGAGAUUUUGGCUUCAGAAGAUCAUUCUCAUGGAAUGGUUUCAAACAUUAAUCUCUGACUGUGAGCUCAUCGAUAUGGCUUUCAAAGGGCCCAAGUUCACUUGAUGGAAUCAUCAAGAUGAGGUUCCAAUAUGUAAAAUAAUUAAUUGUGUCCUGAUAAACGCUAAUUGGAGGGAUGUGGUUUUAUAAGCCUUAUUUUUACAAACAAGAUGAAGCAUGGAACUUGGUGCACAAAGGAAAAAUUUAUGGCUGAACAAGUUUAUCUUCAUAGUAACAAGAUUUAAGGUCGAUUCCUCAAUCCGAUGAAUUUGAUUAUUGAUGGUUUGUGUGUUCAAGUUUUUUUUAUUUAUAAAUUUGGUGAUAUAAUUCCAGCUGAAUUAUUGCCUCCUUUAUGUGAUAUUCAACACCAAGCUGAUCUUGUUCCUGGUGAGACAAUAGUCAUUCCUUAAUGAGCCUAUAAAACCGUGAAGAAUUACCGAUGUCAAUUGCCUCUGAUUGUGAUAAUCGGUCAAUUUGGAAACUACUUGGUACAAAUUUGGUUGUGAAUAUUUGCGUAAAAUUCUCCAUCCGUUGGACAAACAUAAGUGAUGAAUCAAUCAUUAGGAAAUUCUUUAUGCGGUUUGGUCAAUAGAACCUGAAGACUGUGGACUUCCAAUUGUGCAUUGUGAAUUACACAUAACCAUGCCUUCAACAGAAGUCUUGAAUUUUCACCUUUUUCAGGUUGUGUAUGGGGUUCAUUUAAGAUGUUCCCCUGAUAUUCGUGUUCAUGUUCAAGCAGAAGAUUUUGUGUUCAGCAUGCCAGUCAUACAUCAAACUUCACAAAAAUAAAUGAUAACAGUCGUCUAUAUUUUUUCUCUGUAAUAGAGUAACUCUAUUAUGGAAGCAGAUAAUUAGAUCAAAUUCAUCUCUAUAAUAUAGUUAUUCUACUUUAAAGUAAAAAAAAAAUAUAUAUAUAUAUAUUAAAAAAAUAAUGCAAAAACAUAUAGGGAAAAACAUAUAGAGAAUGUUCCAAGUAAGAGUUUAGCUGAGUUGAUGUAAAAAAAAGAGACUAUGAAUGUUUAAACACAGCCACAUAUUGUAUGUAUAUUAUUUAUAACCUCUACAGAUUGUGAACCUCGUAUAUAUCUUAGGAAAACAAUCAACUUCUUCAUUUUGACGUGAAAGUAUAGCAGUUAAUAAAAUUCGAAGUACUAUUCAUUUAUACGAGAGUUAAAACCUCAAUAGUCAAUAAGAUAUCAUUCAUAACAUCCAAAACUAAAACCACCACUAGUAACAUUCUAUCUUAACGAAAUAGUCUUAAAUCGCUAAGUGACAUAUCAUAAAUUCAUAAUUCUUUUGUUUCAGUUAAACACCAAUACCGCUAGUUAAUAUUUUAGGAGUGUAAAGAAAAUAUCAAAACGAUGAUUCAUUGUUUUUGCUAUUUUCUGCUGGUGAUUGGCCGAUGUUAGGAAAAUGUCAAAACGAUAAUCGUUUUCCGAUUUUAUUCUCUUUUCUGCUUUCGACGGACUAACGUGUAGAAAAUAUCAAAAUCGAUAUCGUUUUUAUUGACCUUGGUCUUUUCUACUGGUGGACCAAGAACAUGUCUUCACGAGUAGUACUCAAGUACUCAGACGACCACAAAUUUUCUGUUAUAUUUGGUUUUUGAAUUAUGUUUAGGCUAUGGGAGGAAAUUCGCAAUGAAACAAAUGUAGAGUAACAUGCAUGCAUGAGGUCCAUUUUUUGGCUCAAAAAUAAGAUCAGUUUAUAACCAUAGCAUUAUCCAUUUCUAAGUGUGAUGACUUCUUGGGUGCACUAUUCGUAGAUAUGCUUUAAAUCUUAUAACUUGAAUAUUCGAUACAGUAAAUAAUCAAAAGAUUAGUUUAGUCAAUUUUUAUUAGAUUCACAUUUGCAAAUUUAUUAACUUUAAAAUUUUUGAAUAAGAAUAUUAUACACAUAUACAUAUAUGAUUGAUGAGACAUACACAUUGCAGAAAACAAGGUGGUAAUAUUCACAAUUUCUGGCAUGCAUUUAUUUCACCCCAUACUAUAUUGUUUCUAUCCGGAAUCUGGAGUAACAACUAUCAGUCAAAUUAAAUUAAUUCAGUGAUAUCCAUUUAUGUAGCUUCAAGUUCUAAAAAUUAAAAUCAAUUAAACUGAUUUUAACAAUGACUUGUUCAACUGUUCAUACAUAAAAUGGAAAAAUUCGGUAAAAUUAAUAUCUUGUCGAUAAUUUUUUUUGGGUAAAUGUUAAGUAUUAUACUUUAUUUCAAUUUUUUUUUCUUUGAAUAAUAUGUAAAAUUUAUUCAGAAAAAAUAAUGUUUACAAUGUAGACUACUUGAUUAUGAGAAAAACAUAAAAGCACUAUUUCAGCCUAUCUAGUAGAGAAUCAGAGAUGUAAGACCCCUUCAUGACGUCUAAUUAUCUUGGAUAUCAGAAUGAGACACUGUUUUUGAAUCUGCCUAUCGAUCAUCUUUAUCAGCUGACUUGCUAGUAGCGGCUGAGACCCAUGACGAUGACCAUUCCUCUCACGCAUAGAGAGUGCAGAGUCACUUGAAAGCUGUAUCGCAAGAGGUACAUCGUUAGGUGCGGAAGAGUAUUGUCUGCCAAGAUUACUCGGAUAUCCUGCCAUUUGUUCGUGAAACGGGAUAGAAGAAGACCCUGGACCAGAGCCGACCAGACUUCUUGAGAGUAGCUACAUUCAAAAAAGAGAUGAUCUCUUGUUUCCAGGUGUUGUUGACAUAGAACACAACUCACAUCAAUACCCACAUUCUAGGAUAUCAUUCUGUCGCCAGUUGUUAACAUGUUGUGCAUUGCUAGCCACACCGUGAACGAGUACUUCGGCAUCGAGUGAGAGAACCAGACGAUCGAGUGCCAGGUUACAGUGGGAGCAAAACGUCUAAGAAGAGACCAUGUGCUUCUCAUGUUGAAUUUUGGUUUGAAGCUGUCCGAAGUAGACUUCCAUACCGAAAUAUCUUCUCCUACACCUAUAUUUUCUCGCUUUUUAUGUAACUCAUCCUCAAUCAUAGGAUACAAAUCAUAGCGGUGCCGUCGUGGCCGUCAAGAGAUAACAGACGCAACACUUGCAUUUAACCGAAUUCCCAUAUCAAUACAUCCCCUAACGCCCGUAAGAUCGAUUAAACGACCCAUAUCUGACCAUGCAUUAUUCCAGAAUGAGGUGCCUUGGCCAUCUUUCAAUUCCAUUCGAUGAAAAUCUUUAGCAUUGUCUCUAUAUUUUAGAAGUUCCUUCCAUACCCACAACCCAUUGUUGUUGUACUCUUGACCGUCCAAAAUGUCCCUCCUUUAAGCAAAUAUGUUUUCACCCAUUGAGCCCAUAGAGAAUGGGAGGAAGUGAUCCUCCAUAUUAGCUUAAGGAAACAAGUGAUAUUAGCUUCCUUUAACGGCCUAAGUCCAAGCCCCCCCCNNNNNNNNNNNNNNNNNNNNNNNNNNNNNNNNNNNNNNNNNNNNNNNNNNNNNNNNNNNNNNCCCCCCCCCUUAUGAUUUCAACAUGGUAACUGUAUCCCAUGCCACCUUCGCUCGCUUCACAUUGAGUGUUGGACCAGACCAGAGGAAUGCACAACACAAGCUAUCAAUCUCUUUCAGACAUUCUCCAGGGAGACAGAAAGAGGACAUGCAUAAGUUGGCAAUACUCAUAAGCAUGGACUUAAUAAGCUGCAGUCGUCCAGCCCUAGAUAAGAAUCUGUACGUCCAUAGACUAAUUCUUUUCUUCAUUUUCUCAAUGAGUGGUUGGUAAUCAUUCUUCCCCAUUCGCUUUGUUAAGAGUGGCAGUCCUAGAUAUCGAACCGGUAAGACACCCACAUCCAUGCUAAAACGUUCCUGAAGUUCUUGCUUUGUGUUAUCAUCACUUCCCCCACAAAAGAUCGUUGAUUUUUUCACACUCAUCAUUUAGCCUGAGAUAGUUUCGAACUUCUUGAAAACCUCCAGGAUACUCUCAAUGGAAUGAGAAUUACCAUCUGAGAACAAUAGAAUAUCAUCUGCAAAGCUCAAGUGUGUAAGAUUCAGGUUCUUACACUUUGUGUGAUAGCCCAUCAUGUGCUCUGCUGCUGAUUUAUCCAACAUCUUCGAUAAAACAUUCAUACUGAUGACAAACAGAUAUGAUGAGAGUGCGCAACCCUGACGAAGCCCUCUUUCACUCUUGAAGAACCCAGCCAGCUCUCCAUUCACUUGGACCGAGAAAGAAGCCGUAGUGACACAAAAAGAUAUCCAAUGUAGGAAUUUCUCCGGGAAUCCCAGCGCUGUCAAGGUGUUGAAUAGAAAGGACCACUGAACCGAAUCAAAUGCUUUUGAAAUAUCCCUUUAUUGCACAUCGACGAGAGGCUGAGUCUUUGUGAUAAUCCUCAACCAGUUCCGUUGCUAGGAGCAGAUUUUCUAUCAGUAGCCGAUCUUUUACAAAAGCGGAUUUAUUCAGACUAAUAAAUUCUGGGAAGAGCUUCUUUAACCGGUUUGCGAUAAUCUUUGAGAUCACUUUGUAGAUAACAUUACAGCAAGAGAUGGGACAGUAGUCUUUCAUCUUCUUUGCUCAUGUGACCUUCGGUAUGAGAGCCGUAAUGGUUGUAGUAACCCCUUUUGGUAGAAAACCCUUCUCAAAAAAACUUUUAACCGCAGUAACAAACUCAGAACCAAUGAUUGGCCACGCUAAUUAGUAGAACUCUACAGUGUAACCAUCAGGACAAGGAGACUUGUCGCUCAGCAUAGCAAAUAAAACUUUUGUUACCUCCUCAGCCGUGACCCCUUUGACUAGAUUCUCUUUGUCCAACGGUAAGGUAAGAGGGACUGAAGCACGUCUACAUCAAUACCUGAAUAGUUUGAUGGCUGAAACUGAAGAAAUUCUCGAAAGUGCCUCUCAGCUUCGAUUUUUAUUUGUUCAGGAGUCCUCACCACCUCUCCAUCUAAGCACUCUAUCUCCUUGAUCAAGUUCACUAUUUCUCUUUCUGUUUCUCCUCGAUGGAAAGCCGUAUUGUUCUUAUCACCCACAUCCAACCAAUGCAUCUUUGAUUUUUGUUUGAGAAAUUUCUCUUCAAGUCGAUAAACAAAGUCCCAACGCUUAUAUACUUCACUUUCAGACUGAAUGUUUGUUGUGUUGGAUUUCUCAUUGUUUCAUCCUGCUGUGUGCAUAACUCUUCAAAAUAAGCCUUUAACUUAACUGAGAGGUUCCCCAACCUUGUCUUUUCCAACUCCCGUAUUAUAGGCUUCAAGUUCUUUAGCUUCUUUGAGAAUAUUAAUAGAGACGAAGUCGAUGAAAAUAUUGGUUCAGUAUUUUCCCAAUACUUUCCAACACUAAGUAGAAGAUCUUCCAACUCUGUGAUCGCAUUAACAAAUUUGAAUGGUCGUCUCAGGCGCAAAAGUUCCGAGUGAAGCUGAAUGCGCCAGCGUAGAUGAUCCGAACAUCCACCAGUCUCAAACAUAGCAUAUGAUUGCGGAUAGGCAGCGAGCCAGUGGUCAUUAAACAUGACACGAUCAAUCUUCUUCAAGAUAAGACCCUCCGUUAGUUUAUUACACCAUGUAUAGUGUGGCCCAUGCAAUCCUAAGUCCGUCAGGGAACAAUAUCUCACAACAUCACCAAACUUCCUCAUUCCUUGAGUCACCAUAGGAGAGACUUCAUGCCACAAAUGAUCCUCCAUAUUAAGAGUUUCAUUGAAAUCUCCUGCAAUUAGCCAAGGCAUAUUGUGAAUGAUCAGGGAAUCUUGAUGAAGCUUUAAGUCCUUCCAUAACUCCCUCCUCUCUUCCAUAGUGUUCAAAGCAUAAACAUAAAAUAAAAGAAUUCCUCUCCACUUUCAAUCCAAAUUGAGACUGUGAACACUUACCUACUUUUAAAGAAAGGCGUUACUCUGAUGUCUGGUCUCCACACCAACCAUAUUCUUCCUAAUGCAUUAAACUCAUAAUUUGAGAUCAUACUCCAACCCCAAAAGGCUGUCGAAAGUAUUUCCUCACUCCUACCCUCCUUAACUCUUGUUUCCAGCAACCCUCCAAACAUGAAAUUCUUGUCCCUUCCCCAAUUCUGUACAACCAUGUGCUUCUUUUUUUAUUUAUUAAAACCUCGAAUAUUCCAGAAGAAACCCGACAUAAUUAACACUUAUUGGUAUUACGUUUUUUACCCAUAGUACUUGCCAAGCUGCGCGUACUUUGAAUCUUCGUGUCUCCACCAUUCUUAGCAUGAAAUUUUGCAUUGCGAGUAGAUGUUCUCCGAGUGUUAACUUCAUCAACAAUCUCUUGCUUUUGCUGUUCAUUACAACUUGUGAGUAUCAGAUUCCACAGGCACUUGUUUCUCCAAAAUCUCACCUUCCUCAUUCAUAAUGUUCUCUCUCAUCUCAAUCCUCUCCCAAGAUGGCAAAACGAGAAGGAGAACUUAUGAUGUUUGAAUCUGCAUUUAUUUUUGAGAUUGACCUCAUUUGUUUUCCUGGAGACACAUUCAACCAGUCAUCCUUUGUUUCUUUAUGUUCUUCAGUCUGUUGAUGUGCACCAGCAACAAUUCUCUCCUCGUGAGCUUGGUUCUGAUCUACCACAAUAUUUCCAUCUUCCAAUCUCUCUUCUCCAUCGCUAACCAUUCUCUCCUUUUCCACUCCAUGAGUUAUCUCUGGCUCAACUGCUAGUGGUGCAGAGCUAGAUGCAUCACUUUCCUGAUCAAUUUGUUUCGAAGAGGACUCACUGCCUUCUACCUCCUUGGAAGGACCCUCUUACAUCUCUUUCCUCUGUAAUAUACAUAUGCUUUUUCCUUUUCCACUACAUUUUGCUCCUACAUGCCCCCAUUUAGAACAUAAACAGCACUUGGAUGGUACCAAGGAUACACGAACUGGACAUCAGCCACCACUCCUAGUUUUGAUUUAAAGUGAUGAGACUUCGGCAGUUCUUUAGUCAUAUUUGCUUCUAUAAAGACCUUUGCCUCCUCCAAAACUCUUGCUAAGUAGAGUGUCCGGGUGUAGCCUCUUAGGCUUUCCAACUGCACUGGCGAUGAACCCCAAGCCCUUCCAUGAAAACAUCCUUCUCGGCAUUUUCUUUAACGUUACCAAAUCAGUAUUGUAGUGAUCUCGACUUACUCCUCUUCCUCCUCCUCUGGAGACCAUUUUAACACUACCAUCGGGAUAUUAGCAAUGUUCCACAUUCCAUGACGUAAGAUCCGUGCUCGCGUGUUAGCGUCUUUGAUUCUGAACUUGACUAUAGUCUUGUCCACUUCAAAAACCUCGAUUCGUAUAGCUUGGCUUCCCAGAGGCCAGAUUUUAUUCACUAUAGCGUGAAUUUUUGCAACAUGAGGAGCAGUGCCCAUGAACUUUUCUUCGAUUAGAUCAUCCCAUAGAGGCACUGUGUUCUGGAUUAUACCAUCCGAAACUCCACAAAAUCCUUUCCCUCCUCUGAAACAUAAGCCAACACAUGUAUCGCCAAAACUGGUCCCGACUGAGCCACCCCUACCCACGAAGACGUCUUCCCUUCCUUAACUGUGUUAUUUUCCCUUGCUGUGUCCCCCAAAGGCGAAAACUCGGUUAGAUCCGUCAUCGGCCCGAACAGAGAUUACGUGUGUUAGAACCCAAAACCCUAGUCGCACUUCAAAUCAGACUUGCCACGUCAGCCCACUUUCUUUGGCUUGUUUUUUCCUUUCAGCUUUCAAAUUUUGACAGAACUCAGAUAAAAUAAUUAGACUAAACAACCCACCUAAUCAGCAACAAAGAACCAAGAAAUGAAAGAAAUGAAUCAAGACAUAGAACCGAAAGCCAAAAGAACACUGACACCUGAAAAGCAUAAAUGAAAUGAACAUAUGAUCGCCACAAGCUACCGAAAUAAUGGCACCCUAAAAUUCUAAAGCGAUGACUCCCGCAAUCAGUGCCAUCUUAAAUAUAAAUUACAGUCUAUUUCUUGCCUCUUUCUUAUAUUUUUCGUUUUUGGUUUGAAAUUCAGAUUUACUGUUUUUUUUUAAAUAAUAUGCCCUUUUACAUGUGGGUUCUCUCGAAGAGUGCAAUGCUGGCGCUUGUACUUACGCCGGCAUUGGUUACAUGGGUCAUCAUUUUAUAGUCUGAGGGUGAAUUGUUUCGGUAGCUUGUAAGUCGUAAUGAUCAAAUGUUCAUUUUAUUUAUGUUUUCUUUAGGUGCGUCAUUGCUCUGCUCAUUUGUUUCUCAUGUCUCGGUUCUUUGUCGUUGUUUAGGUUUCUUUGUUAGUUUGAAUUCUAUAUUUCCGCUAGUGUUCUAUCUAAUUCAGUCCAAAUUUGAAAUAUGGUAUCACAUUAAAAAAGUUAUAACUUGUAUUAAUUAAAAAAAUUUCAUGCUGAAUUCUCACGUAAUUAAAAUGCUAAUUUUGCUUAUGUAGCAGCUUGAGAAUCAAUUAAGAAUUUUGUUAGUCCAUAAUUAAAUUGCUAAGAAAUGUUAUAUUAUAUAGUAUGUUCAUUAUGGACCAUUCAUUUAUCAAAUUGAAUUCUUUCCUUAAUUAAAACCUACAAAAGUACCUAAUGUAAUUAAGAUAUAUAUGACAAUUAAUUAUUCUAAAUAAUAAAAAUUUGCUAACAAUCUGUAUAUUUUUUAUCAUUUUUGUUUAAUUAUUUAUUAUUAAAAUAAAUUACAUAAUUACUAAUAAAAAUUACGAUUUUUUUUUUUUGUAUAUGUUGUAUUUUGAAUUUUUCAAAACGAGUAUAAAUUACUAAAAUUGUUAAAAGUCUCACAUAAACUUUUGUGAUCAAGGUUUGAUUUUUUUUCUAUAAUAAGGUACAAUGAUUAUAAAAUCAUAUGAAUAAAUAAUUUUAUUUUAAUAUAUAUACAUAUUUCAUAUCUUUUAAAUUAAACUAUAUACAUCAUAUGCAAAUACAUACUUAUAUUUUGAUAUCUACGUUGAACAUAUAUUGAAAAGUUAAUAUUUUAAUUUUGAAAUCUUCAUUUUUUUUUAAAUAAUUAUAAAUUAUUGUAACCACUAAAAAUUCCACAUUAAAAACAAAAAUCGUUGGUGUAAAGUUUUGUUACACAAAUAUGCAAAUAAUCAUAAAAUCAUAUGAGUAGAAACCUCAUUUAAUAAAUAUCCAUAUUAAAAGUAUACUAUAUAUCUAUGUUAAUAUCAUUUAAAUUUAAUUAUAUAUAUAUAUAUAUAUCAUAUACGAUAAAUAAAAUUGAUUAGUUUGAUUUAUUUACCCUAAAAUGAUUGCGAAUAAACAAGAGCGAUUGUUUGAUUUAUAUGUGCACGCCAAUUUAUUACAUAAUAGUAACUGAUUUCUUAGUUAUUUAAUAUAUAAUUAUUAUUUUAUUAUUUCAUAAUAUGCAAAAAACAUAAAAUAAGUAAUAAAUAUAAAAUAUUUAUUCUGCUCAAUACGCGGAUCAACCUAAGUACAUAUCUCUUUAAUAAUUUUAAAUCUUAAACAUUUUCUAGCCAAAACAAAAUUACGAAAUGAGAAUAAACUCAAAAAUCAAUAUUUAUAUCGAGCAAUAAACAAAAUGAAAAAAACGACACAAAAAUGAGAAAAAUAUUGAAGAUAUUUAGGAUUGGCAUGUGAACGUAAACUUCCCAUAACCAUAAUUAACAUUUAAAUUGCUAAAUCAUUAUAUAAAACCAAGCUUUCAUAUUUUCAUUGUAACCAAAUUGUAGGCAUGAGAUUCUCCGGCCUAAACGUUAGGUUCUUAUGCGAUAAAUGAUUUUUUGACCUAAAAUAUUUUUAAAAUAGAAUCAGCUCAUCAGUAAACAAAUUAUGUAAUUAACAAAAAAAAAUUAAAAAUUAUUUAAGGGCCAAUAAUAUUUAUUCGAUCAAGAAUAUACAUUUUAUUUUCCCAUACAAUAUUUCUUAAACAAUUUUCAUAUAAAUUUGUCAUACGUAAGGCGCAUGUCUUAUCCUAGUAUACUUAAUAUAUUACCAAAAAAAUGUAUCCACAAAAUAUUAAUUUUACAGAAUUUUCCCAUUUUAUGUCUGAUCUGUUUCAGUUUGAUUUUCCUUUAAAAUUUUAAGGCUACAAAAAUGGAUAUCACUGAUGAUUAUUUAGGAGACUAGAUUCCAUGUUCUGUGCCGUGCUGCCGUGCUGGAAAUGCUUUUAGUACUAUAACCCAUGUUCAAAAAUGCGGCCUAGUUAGCCGACUUCGCACCGGUUAAACACAACUCGGUAGUGCUCCGCUGCGAUUUUGUGUUAUUCGGGUAAAAAUUCGGAUUUCAAAAAAAGUAUACAUAUUUUGACAUUUUCCGGUUCGAAAUCUGUCCUUUAAGCAUAUAUCUAUCAUCUAUAUUAUUAAAACUGAAGUACCUUUUGGUACUGUUUGGAAACUUAGAUAGUAGAUCAAAUGAAAGUUGUUUGAAAAAAAAGAUAGCAUAUUAAAUAUUUUUUUUUUAUAUAUUUAGUCACUGUAUUUCUUUCUCAUUUACAGAUUCUGUCGUUUGGAAACUUGGAUAAAAGAUUAAAUGAGAAUUGUUUGGAAACACGAAUAGCAAAUUAAAUAUUUUUUCUUAUUUACACAUGUAGCUAUUGCAUUUCUUUCUUAUUUACAAAUCUGUCACCUCACUUAAAAUCAAAAUUUUAAAAUUAAUUAAUUACAAUGAAUUCUUUUUUUUUUUGCUGAAAAUAAAAAACACAAACUGUAAUAUAUAGUAUAUAUUAAUCUGAUACAAUACAAUUUUCAAGAAAACCAAAUAUCAUAAAAUUAAUAAUAAUUUAUAAAACCUACUGUAAAAAAUUAAAUCAAUUUAAAUAAAUAAACAAAAAAAUAAAUAGGUUAAUAUAUGAAUAUUACAAUUACAUCAAAUUGCAUCAAGUUAUAAAAUUAUAAAUAUAAUAUUGUGUACAAAUAAAAAUUAUCAAACAUCUAUAUUAUAAUAUAUUAUAUUAUACUCUAAAUAUAUUUUACAAAACAUAAAAAUAUAAAUGGACAUUUUAUAAAAUCAAUGGUUUAUAAAUUUACAUUGAAUGCAAAUUAAAUCCAAAACCUGCGCGGAACCGCAUGUCAAGAUCUAGUAUUUCAUUGUUACCGAUCAAGAAUCGAAGAUAAUCGUCAAAGAAAAAAAUUAUUUAUGUUAAAAAUAAAUAAAAAAAACGGUUGUCGUUGGAGAAGAAACAAGUCGAGAGGAAGAUGAUGUAACUAAAAUUACAAAUGUGUCCUUUAUUAAUGAAAUGUUAAAAAAGCAAAAAAUUGACAUUUUUUUUUAAUCGAACCCGGGAGAAGAGAACUAGUUAUUAUAAGAACUUGCAUGCAUGAAAUUCUACGCGUACAGUUUUACUCGUUGACUUUAGAUAUUAUAGACUAAGAGCAUUGAUUAAUUAGAGGUUUUUACGAUGAAGUUCUUAGCAGAAUUUAAGAAACUGUUUCUUAACUUUUUAGUAAAAAAAGUUAAGAAUCGAUUUUUAAAUAAAGACUUUAAGAACCAGUACUUAGUUUUUUAGUUAAAAAUUAAAAAACAGAUUCUCAAUUUGUGUUAAUAACCUCACUCUAAAAACCCUCGGUAAAUCAUGGUGUAAACAUCGUAUAGCGGUACGAUGCAAGUUUAGACGAUGCAAGUCCUUACGGUACAUUGUAAAACUAUACCGACAUUGUCAAUGUUUAGUCUACGCGUACAGUUAUAACUCACUAGUUAUUUAUAUUAUUAUUAUUAAUUUAUUAUUAUGGCGGAGUCACAUGCAUGCAUGAGAUUCAUUCAUUCAUAAUGUCACACUCACACACUAUCCAUUCCCCUUUGUUUUGGUUAUAAAGAAAAUAAAAUUCUUAAAGUGACAAACUUCACGGGUUACACUGUGUUACUACCCGCCAAAUUCUACCCGCCACCUUUUAAAUUUCAUUUUAGUUUCUUCACCGUCAAUAAAUCGUCAGGACAAAAUAAUUACUUUUAAAUUUCAUUGUUUUAUCUUACCAAGUGUGGUCAGUAUCUCUAAUAAUUUUGAAGAAUAUUUAGAAAACUAAUUAGAUAAUAAUUUUCGACGAUGUUAAUAUAUAUGUCGAAGUAAAUAAGGUAAAAAAAAUGGUUCAUUUAUGGUUUUAUAUGGCAUUAAAAUUUUGAAUAUUGACUAUCAGAUUCAGUAUAUCAUUUGGAAUAAAAACAAAAGUAACCUAAAACUUAUAGAUUGAUCUUCUUUUCAGAAUGCAUAUGCAUUUACAGAUUUAGUAUCCUUUGAAUUAUUAAUUAUCAAAAAAAAAUUGUAUCCUUUGAAUUAUCGAUUAUACUAGCCAGAAUUACAUGUUGACCUAUUUACAUUAUAUUUGAAAUCCCAUAGUGAAUACGCGCACCAUGACUAGUAUUACUAUUAUUGUAUUAUAUUAUAUUUACAUUAAUAUGUAAUAUGAAAAAACUAUAAAGAGAAUCAUCAGUCACGGACAUCAUGACUCAAUCACUCUAAGCUAGAUACGUAAUAUCUUUCAGAAGCGUGGGACUAAAAUAUUACAAGAAAUAGCUUCGAACAAUUCAAUGAAGUUAGCAUGGUGAAAAAUAAUCUUGAACCCAACAGACUACUUUUGGUCGGGACCCCAAUAAGUUGGAACUUUGUUCAAGAUUUAUCAACCUAUGUAUAUGAAUAGUUGAAUAGUGUAUAUCCCCAAGAACUGAUUCUCUUUUUCCUAUUUGUAUAGGCAAAGACAUAAACUAGCACCCGAGAGAACUUGCCUAUGAUCCUCUCUCAAAAAAAAAAGUGGACCUAACAAGGAAGGAACAAGACAAAAAGAGUGAGAACGAUGUUUUUUUAUCAUAUCUUGUAACUAUAUAGAGAAUUGGAGGUGUCUCGCAAGUCAAGUAGUAAUCACAAAACCCCUUCAUAAAUUGUCUACCCACUGGGCACUACACUACAACAACCUUUGGUUGCUCCCAUUGUUUUCACCUAUAAAUUACAAAUAUGACUAUGCCUAAGGUUCUUAAAAAACUUUUUAAUGCCAAUAAUAUAACGAAGGUUUAAGUUAGUGGCUUCUAAAACGCUUAGACUAUGCAUUCUCUAAUAUUGAUUAUAGACUAAACAUUGACAAUGUCGGUACAGUUUUACGCGUUGGCUUUAGAUAUUAUAAGGACUUGAUCUGAGGUUUAGUUAAAAUAAGGUGCAAGACAUAAGACAUGAUUCUUAAAAGGUACUAGCUUAAGAUCCGUGCAAUUGCGCGGAGUGAAUGUUAUAUAUAAAACUAAUUUUAAUCUAUUAUUAUUUAUAUUUAUUUACGUAUUAUGUAUAUAAUUUAAUUAGAGUAAAUACAUAAAUCAAAACAAUACAUCUUGUUUAUUUAUGAUAUUUUUUUGGUAAAUAAAUCAAAACAAUCAUUUUAUUUAUUUUAUAUGGUAUAUAACUAAAUUUCAAUAACAUGGACAUAGAUAUAUAAUAUAUUUUAAUAUAAAUAUUUAUUAUUGAGAAUUCAUACUCAUAUGAUAAACACAAAAUUUCUAAUAUGCAAUUUUUAAUGCAAAUUUCAAAAUUAAAAUAUUAAGGUCCAAUACUUUUUCAGUACAAAUUUAGAAAUUAUCAUAUUUAAGUAUUACUCCAUGUUAUAUAGUUUAAUUUUAAACUAUAUUAUUAUAUAACAUGAAUGUCUAGUAAAUGUGACUUCAUAUUCAUACGAUUUAUAAUCAUUUGUAUCUUGUUAUUACCAAAAAAAGUUAAACCAUUGAUCACAAAAUUUCAGUGUGAGACAUUUAACAUUUUAAUAAUUUAUAAUCGUUUUAAAAAUUCAAAAUAUAACAUAUAAUUUUUUUAUUUUUUAUUAUAUGGUUAAUGUUGUUGUUUAAUAUCUUUUAAUAAUAUAAAAUUAAACAAAAAAAAAGCUAAGAUACAAAAUUUAUCAUCAAAAAUUUAUUAUUCAUAAUCAUUAAUUAUCAUAUAUACGUUAAUCAUAUUAGGCAAUUCUGUAAUUUUUAUUUAAGGAAAGUGCGAGAAUAUUAUUUUGUACAUUAUUUAUAAAUUUAAUAGUUAGUUUAAUAAAAAGUAUAAUAUAAGUUAAGAUAGAUCAACCUAUUUUUCCAAGAAUUCUAAAAUUCAUUUUUAUGUUGACACAUGAAUACAAAAUAUUAUCGUAAUGUUUCUGAUUAAUAUAUAAGAGAUUAUUGGCAUGCUUCACGAAGCUAAUAUUUGACCAAAUAUGCAAAUAUAAACUAUGGAAAUUUCUUAGGAACCUACUAGUAAUGAAAAUCAUUGGAGAUCGUACUAUCGUUAUUCGUUACUGAUUCUUUAGCAAAAAUAAACAUAUAAGAAAUGAUUAUGCGAGUUUAUGUUGCUGAGUGCUACAGUGAUAGUUUUGUUUUUCUAAUUAAGCAUUUUCAUGUUUUUGUUUUUCUAAACAUUUUCAUGUUGUUUGUUUUUCUAUACAUUUCCAUGUUACGGUAUAUAUAGGCUGAGCAUGUCCAAGCUAUUCAAAAUUAACCGAAUCGUGGAACAGAUCCAGUAACUAGCUAAUUCAUAGUUCUAUUAAAAUUGAGGUUAACAAAGGUAUAUUCAACCAGCGUAGCUGGCCCAGAUGGUCUUGUGGGGAAAUAAAAAACCCUAAUACGGAACACGCGGGUUCGAUGCGCUGGCCAGACAAUUGGGGUAUCUAAUUCCCUAUAGUACCAAAUGGUCCGCCUCGCGCCGAGGGGUUGGCCCCUGGAGAUGGAAGUCCCUCCAGGUUAAACAAAAAAAAAAAAAAAAAAAAAAAAAAGGAAAAAAAAAAAAAAAAAAAAAAAAAAAAAAAAAAAAAAAAAAAAAAAAAAAAAAAAAAAAAAAAAAAAAAAAAAAAAAAAAAAAAAAAAAAAAAAAAAAAAAAAAAAAAAAAAAAAAAAAAAAAAAAAAAAAAAAAAAAAAAAAAAAAAAAAAAAAAAAAAAAAAAAAAAAAAAAAAAAAAGGUAUAUUCGUAUAUAAAAGAAAAAAAAAACAAAUAAAUGAAUAGUAACAAAACUAGAGAGAGAACAGAAAGGAAUAUAGAUUUUGCCGAAACUUUUCUAAGGGCAGUGUCUGAGUAUUUUUUUGGUAAUCAUGUUAAAUCAGUGUCUGAGUUCUUCAAACCUUCUCAGACUUGUCGUUUGUAAUUAAUCAUUAUCUGGCCGAUUAAAAAUGAUUAAUGUAUUUGAUUUCGUGUUUUCCGAAUGCUUUCACACUAACCAAUUACAUUUUCACAAAAUUUACAAAUAGGUUCGUAGAGCAUGCAGCCAUGUGAUGAGCACAAAAGUGAAAAAUUCUUUAGCAGUUUACUUAUAUCAACGUAAAUAGCGAAUGUUAUUCCUAAAUUUCCCUGAAAAGAUAAGAAUCUACGACUACAAAGAUACGCCAAUUUAGGAAAGUAUGACAAACCCUUUUAUUUUCGUUUUGGAACUAAGUGACCUUAUACCUGCUUAAUAAAAUCUAAUAUUCCAAUCAUCUAAUCACAGUUUGGUGCUUACACUAUUAAAAAUAAACAAAUAUCGGCGAAUACUUUUUCUAUAAAAGGUGCACACUAUCAUAUACCUACUUACUAAGUCGUUUACACAACCCAAACCCUCAUUCUAAGAGAUGGGGUCUCACACACAAAACCUCUCUUUUCUUAUCCUCCUUCUCCUAGGCUUCCUUGCUGUCUCAUUCGCUUGCGAAUGUAGCCCUCCUAAACCAUCACCGAGUCCUCACAAACCGCCUAAACAUCCCGUCAAACCGCCUAAACCACCAGCAGCCAAACCACCAAAACCACCGGCAGUAAAACCUCCUAAACCCCCCACCAAACCUCCCACCCUUAAACCACACCCCCACCCUAAACCUCCCACUAAACCCCCCACCGUUAGACCACACCCACACCCUAAGCCCCCUACCAAACCUCAUCCCAUCCCAAAACCGCCCACCGUUAAACCACCACCCUCCACCCCCAAACCGCCCACAAAACCACCCACCGUUAAACCGCCUCCAUCCACCCCUAAGCCGCCCACCAAACCACCCACCGUCAAACCACCACCCUCCACCCCAAAACCGCCCACCAAGCCACCCACCGUCAAACCACCUCCGUCCACCCCUAAACCACCUACCCACAAGCCACCAAUAGUGUGCCCACCGCCAACACCAACACCAACCCCACCUGUUGUAACGCCACCAACACCACCAACACCAACUCCACCAGUCGUUACGCCACCAACACCAGCUCCACCUGUUGUAACGCCACCAACACCAACACCACCGGUCGUAACGCCACCGACACCAACCCCUCCUGUCGUAACACCACCAACACCACCGGUCGUAACGCCACCGACACCAACCCCUCCUGUCGUAACACCACCAACACCACCGGUCGUAACGCCACCGACACCAACCCCUCCUGUCGUAACACCUCCAACACCACCGGUCGUAACGCCACCGACACCAACCCCUCCUGUCGUAAUACCUCCAACACCACCGGUCGUAACGCCACCGACACCAACCCCUCCUGUCGUAACACCACCAACACCAACUCCACCUAAGCCAGAAACAUGCCCAAUCGACACGUUGAAGCUAGGCGCUUGUGUAGACGUUCUUGGAGGUUUGAUUCACAUCGGGCUUGGUGGAAGUAGCGCCAAGAAAGAGAGUUGUCCGGUUUUGGGAGGCUUAG
RNAcentral lists this long non-coding RNA (30164 nucleotides) under Brassica napus (rape). RNAcentral describes it as "long non-coding RNA (BNAP_LNC017666)". Lineage: Eukaryota; Viridiplantae; Streptophyta; Magnoliopsida; Brassicales; Brassicaceae. The record is from RNAcentral.